GAUUGGAGGUCAUUUCAUUUCAAAUCAAAAUCACCAAGGGCAGGAAGAGAAAGGAUUUGGAAAUCUUAACACCACCAUCAUAUAAAUGACAUUGUUGAUUACAGGAAACUAAUGUGCCCAGGUGGACCAGGAUUGCACUCUAUCUACAAAAUACCAUCUCUUUAUCAUCUUGGGGCAUUGAAAGGUGGAAGAACCACAAUUUUUUUUUUUCAAUCUUUUCUAUAUUCUAUUGAAUUAACAAAGACAUUGGGAAAAAAAAAAUGAAAAAAUGCAUAUUAACAAUCAAAAUCCUUCAACACUAGCCCUUCGAACAGCUGAAGAUGAUGAUUUCUGGCUUUCCUGCCGUUCCAGUUCCUCGAAUGAGAGGGUUGAGGAACAGGCACGGGGAGGAAGAGACAUCGCAGACAAAGCAGGUGGUCUUGUGGGUGAAACAGAUGGCCGGGCUUUUGAUGGUGGUGAUGGUGAGAAACUUAACCUGGGUGCUGGGGUAACAAUCCCGUUAAGACUUGGUGACCUAGACAUCUGUUUUCCAGCAAC
Molecule: unclassified non-coding RNA, 537 nt
Filed under: Hevea brasiliensis (rubber tree)
Lineage: Eukaryota; Viridiplantae; Streptophyta; Magnoliopsida; Malpighiales; Euphorbiaceae
Source: RNAcentral